Molecule: long non-coding RNA, 2823 nt
Organism: Dreissena polymorpha
Lineage: Eukaryota; Metazoa; Mollusca; Bivalvia; Myida; Dreissenidae
Exons: 6
Source: RefSeq, a predicted model, not a curated record
UUUUAAUAUGAUGAAUAUUCUAGGUAGAGAAUAUGGAUAGUAUUACCAUUAUUAGUAUUACGUCAACAUUAACUCAACAAUUGUAUUGUUGACAUGAAGAAAAAGCUAUUUCGAGGUUGUUUUGACCAUUGAUUGCUAAUAACACCUGGCGCCGUGACCUGGAUGCAGAUUCUAAGCAGAUGGGCCAAAAUGGGGGCAGCUAGAGAGACUCGCCUGGAACUGACAAGCCUGGAGGGAGCUGGUUGACUGUUGGCGAGAUGGGACAACAGACGAAGAAUAAACGAACCUACUUGAUUUGAUAAACAUUUUUAUGUUUUUCAGUUUCGUCGGAAGACAUUUCCCACCAACCAUCCUGUCUUGAAAAAAAUAACUUUUGAACCCGAUUAUCUGAUAUUUUCCAGUUUCCCCUCACAGCAAUUUGCAUCAAACCUCUUGUCUGCUCCUCAGCUGAAAUCAUCAUCUAGCAGUCACAAUAGUUGAGCGGUUGGAGAGGCAUGCAUUGCGUCCUACUACUGCUCAGACUAUAUCAUGUUUGGCAGACAAAACAUGCUGAUCAAAAAGAAUGUGUACCACAGGGGCCAGUGUUUCCAUUUGAGUGAUUGACAAGAAGAAGAAGAGAUGAGAAAUGUUAUCAUCAUAUUUUAGUCCCUACAUUUAUAGUGUACAGCUCAAUGUAUUGAACCGGUGUUGUAGAAUAUAAUUGGAGAUACAUGCGAACAUUAUAACAUUAUAUAUAAGAUGAUAUUUCAAAAGCAAUAAGAAAUAAAAAGUAUAAAAAGGUCAAAACAGUAAACCUUGUGUUUACAGUGGACAGGUUUAAAGUGGAAGUGACUAGUUAACUGUUGAUCAUAAGCUGCACUGAUGGAAAAAAUAGUGGGAAAUUACUAUCUAGAAAACUGUUUAACGUACGACAACAGUUGUGGAACUUCAUAAAUGACCGUAUGUAACAGGGCUGUGCAGUUUUCCUUAUAUAGCUAUAGUGAAACCUUUUGAACACUAGUGAAGUCACUGUUUUUUUUCAAAUCUUCAUGCAUUUUGGUCGAAUAUUUGUUCAAAUGAUGGCUCAGUCCAGUUUCGAAAUUUUUAUGUCUAUUCAAAAAACAUAUCCACUAGAGCACGAGGCAAUUGUCUUUAUGGCUAUAAUGAAACCUUGUAAAUUCUCUAGAAGUGCCAUUUUUAGCCAUAUCUCCAUAAAUUUUGGUCAGAAUAUUUAUUCUAAUGAUAGCUCAGUUGUCGAGUUUGUAACUGGUUCCGGUUUGUAGACUAACAUGGCUGCCAGUGGACAUGACAGUUUUUCUUAAAGUGCUAGAGUAGAACCUUGUUAACACACAAUUGGGCUUUUUUAUGUGCAUUUUUCAUGAAAGAUGAUCAGAGCAUUUGGCCCAAUGUAAUCUCAGCUGACUUUGAAACUGGAUCACAUAACGUCAAAAAGUGGGUCAAAAUGUCAAAUUAAAAAAAGCUUGUAAACACUGGAAGUUGCAUUUAAAAUUGUGUUCCUUUUUUAUGUCCCCCACUAUAGUAGUGGGGGACAUAUUGUUUUGCCCUGUCUGUUGGUUGGUCUGUUGGUUGGUUGGUUUGCGCCAACUUUAACAUUUGCAAUAACUUUUGCAAUAUUGAAGAUAGGAACUUGAUAUUUUGCAUGCAUAUGUAUCUCAUGGAGCUGCACAUUUUGAGUUGUGAAAGGUCAAGGUCAUCCUUCAAGGUCAAAGGUCAAAUAUAUGGGUCAAAAUCGCUCAUUUAAUGUACACUUUUGCAGUAUUUCAAUAUUGAAGAUAGCAACUUGAUAUUUGGCAUGCAUGUGUAUCUCAUGGAGCUGCACAAUUUGAGUGGUGAAAGGUUAAGUUCAUCCUUCAAGGUCAGAUGUCAAAUAUAUGUGUCCAAAAUCGCUCAUUUUAUUAUACUUUUGCAAUAUUGAAGAUAGCAACUUGAUAUAUGGCAUGCAUGUGUAUCUCAUGGAUCUGCACAUUUUAAGUGGUGAAAGGUCAAGGUCAUCCUUCAAGGUCAGAGGUCAAAUAUAUGUGGCCCAAAUCGCUAAUUUUAUGAAUACUUUUUCUAUAUUGAAGAUAGCAACUUGAUAUUAGGCAUGCAUGUGUAUCUCAUGGAGCUGCACAUUUUUAGUGGUGAAAGGUCAAGGUCAUCCUUCAAGGUCAAAUAUAUGGGUCAAAAUUGAUCAUGUAAUGUCACUUCUGCAAUAUUGAAGCUAGCAAUUUUAUAUUUGAAAUGCAUGUGUAUCUCAUGGAGCUGCACAUUUUGAGUGGUGAAGGGUCAAGGUCAUCCUACAAGGUCAAACGUCAUAAAGGGGGAAAUUGUGUUUCACAAACACAUCUUGUUUAAAGUUUGUCAAAACAUUUGCUGUAAUGAUAAGCAAAGUCAAGUUUAUAAAUGAUUAUUUGCCUACAAAUUACAUAUUUUUCAUCAAGUUCAUUUAUUAUUCUAAACUACACCCUCUCAGAAUAGUUUAGUUACUUCUGGUCACAGUUGAGCACCUUAGGGCUCUUGUUCUAUAAUUUGAUUGUUUUGGAAAAUUGUCAUUUUGCCAAAAUGUGAGCAAGUCCAAAUUUAAUUAACCCUGCUUUGUAGUAUCUUGUUUUCCUUAUAUGUAUUUAAUUAUAAUUAUCUAUGAAUCUGACUGCAUAGAUAUUUGGUAUUCAGCAAAGCAUCGUGUAAAUGUAGUAAAACUAAACACAAUUGUGUUAGCAUAAAACUGGCCAUGCCAUGGGGGUCAAAUGGUAAAUACAGACUUGUAGGAAAAAGACUUCUAAAAAUUUUAUCCAUUAAAUAUAUUUUGUGUACAUAAUGAUUAGCUUUUUCCUUCAACUUAUC